This is a long non-coding RNA of Solea senegalensis (Senegalese sole), 405 nucleotides long. RefSeq lists it as uncharacterized. The record is from RefSeq and is a predicted model, not a curated record. NCBI's taxonomy places the organism in Eukaryota, Metazoa, Chordata, Actinopteri, Pleuronectiformes, Soleidae. The transcript is spliced from 3 exons.
UAUGGGGAGUGAGAGUCGAACAGGCAACCAACACAAGCCAGCCAGAGGACAGCAGUCAAAUUUCUUCAAGAGAGCUGACAAAAGAUGAAGAAUCCAGCACUCUACAAUGAUUCUUCCACUGAUGAUAUAGGCUUCAUCUUUUAUAGCAGUGGGUCUCAUACUUCUUAUACCAAGUACUACCUGAGAAAAUAUUGAGCUCUCGAAGUAACAUCAUUAUCACCAAUGUUAAAAUACAGUGGUGUUAAUAGGGCGAGCAAAGUCAGGUACAGACAUUUCACAAGAGGCAAAUUUAUUCCCAUUAACCCUUAACCUUCAAAAAGGUUACGUUAACACGCCUAGAGCACAAAAUGGUGCUUGUAAAAGUACACACCUAUAAAAAUAGUAUACAUUUAUAUUUUUAAUUGU